GACGAACCGUCCGAACGUUAUUCGGAAUCACUGGGCUUAAAGGGCGCGUAGGCGGGAUCGUAAGUCAGGGGUGAAAUCCCACGGCUCAACCGUGGAAGUGCCUUUGAUACUGCGGACCUCGAGGUGGGCAGGGGCGUGCGGAACUUCCGGUGGAGCGGUGAAAUGCGUAGAUAUCGGAAGGAACACCGGUGGCGAAAGCGGCACGCUGGGCCCGUACUGACGCUGAGGCGCGAAAGCCAGGGUAGCAAACGGG
RNAcentral lists this ribosomal RNA (253 nucleotides) under uncultured bacterium. RNAcentral describes it as "partial 16S ribosomal RNA". It matches the Rfam family "Bacterial small subunit ribosomal RNA", at positions 524 to 776 of the family's 1533-position model. The record is from RNAcentral.